RNAcentral lists this ribosomal RNA (1483 nucleotides) under uncultured Crater Lake bacterium CL500-13. RNAcentral describes it as "bacterial SSU rRNA". It matches the Rfam family "Bacterial small subunit ribosomal RNA". The record is from RNAcentral. Lineage: Bacteria; Candidatus Parcubacteria.
AGAGUUUGAUCAUGGCUCAGGAUGAACGCUGGCGGCGUGUUUAAGGCAUGCAAGUUGAACGGGCAUUUGUAGCAAUACAGAUGCUAGUGGCAAACGGGAGCGUAACACAUUGGUAACGUACCCCUGCGUCGCGAAUAAUUCACCGAAAGGUGGACUAAUACGCGAUACGGAUGAGGGGCCCUCGGGCAUUCUCAUUGAAAGAUUUAUCGCGCAGGGAGCGGCCUAUGUUCGAUCAGCUAGUUGGUAAGGUAACGGCUUACCAAGGCUACGACCGAUACCGGGUGUGAGAGCACGACCCGGCUCACUGGGACUGAGACACUGCCCAGACACCUACGGGUGGCUGCAGUCGAGAAUAUUCCACAAUGGACGAAAGUCUGAUGGAGCGACGCCGCGUGCCGGAUGAAGCCCUUUGGGGUGUAAACGGCUUUUGGUAGGGACGAAUUCGUGACAGUACCUACAGAAUAAGAGGUUGCUAACUCUGUGCCAGCAGCAGCGGUAAUACAGAGACCUCAAGCGUUAUCCGGAGUUACUGGGCGUAAAGCGCCCGCAGGUUGUGUUGCGCGUCACAUGUCAAAUCUUAUUGCUCAACGAUAAGGCUGCAUGUGAUACGGCAACGCUCGAGGCCGGGAGAGGUAUCGGGAAUUGCUAGUGUAGCGGUCAAAUGCGUUUAUAUUAGCAAGAACACCCAAUGCGAAAGCACGAUACUGGAACGCGCCUGACACUCAUGGACGAAAGCGUGGGGAGCGAAUGGGAUUAGAUACCCCAGUAGUCCACGCCGUAAACGAUGCAUGCUAGGUAUAAGGAGUUUCGACCCUCUUUGUGCCGUCUAAAAAAGCUAACGCGUUAAGCAUGCCGCCUGGGAAGUACGACCGCAAGGUUAAAACUCAAAGGAAUAGACGGGGACCCGCACAAGCGGUGGAUUAUGUGGUUUAAUUCGUCGGUAAGCGAGAACCUUACCUGGUCUUGACAUCUAGCUGCAUGCCCCUGGAAACAGGGGAGGCCUUCGAGGGUGCUAGACAGGUGCUGCAUGGUUGCCGUCAGCUCGUGCCGUGAGGUGUACCCUUCAGUGGGGUAACGAGCGCAACCCUUAUCCUGCGUUACAUUUACACAGGAGACUGCCCUCGUAAGAGGGAGGAAGGUGAGGACGACGUCAAAUCAGCAUGGCCCUUACGACCAGGGCUACACACAUAAUACAAUGGCCAGUACAGAGGGCCGCCAAGUCGCAAGACGGAGCUAAUCCCUAAAACUGGUCUCAGUUCAGAUUGAGGUCUGCAACUCGACCUCAUGAAGUCGGAAUCGCUAGUAAACGCAGAUCAGCUCGCUGCGUUGAAUACGUUCUCGGGUCUUGUACUCACCGCCCGUCACACCAUGGGAGUUGGUAACACCCGAAUGUCGCCGAUUGGCGGCAGAAGGUGGGAUCAAUAACUGGGGUGAAGUCGUAACAAGGCAUCCGUAGCGGAAGCUGCGGAUGGAUCACCUCCUU